CAGCAUAAACCUUUUGCUAGUUGCCAAAUCCUUUGAGUGAGCAAAAAUGUGGCUAAACAUUGUGUCCUUAUUGAUAAUCCUCAAAGGAGUCCAGUCUCAAGUCCAGUUGGUGGAGUCUGGAGGAGAUCUGCAAAGACCUGGAGGGUCCCUCCGUCUCUCCUGCCAAGCCUCUGGAUUCCCUUUCAGCAGCUUUAGCAUGAGCUGGGGGAGACAGUUUCCAGAGAAAGGACUGGAAUGGGUUGCACACAUGGGUUCAUCUAUCACUUACUACUCAGACAAAGUGAAGGGACGCUUCACCAUCUCCAGGGAUGAUGCCAAAAGCCAGCUGUAUCUGCAAAUGAGCAGCCUCACAGUUGAAGACACAGCCGUCUAUUACUGUGCAAGAGGCACAGUGAGAAGAAGUGAAUCUGAAGCCAAACAAGAACCUUCUUUUCUUCAGAGCAGUUCUUCAACUUGACUGAGUCCCAGAUCCUGGAUUAGUCAAUGAAGAUUGAUUGAUUUCCAAUGAGAACUUCACGAUGUUUUAUUCUGGGUUUCAAAAAGUGUGUUGUAAGAAAACAAAAGAAAACAAAACAAAAAAUCCAAGUACCCUGUCCCUAUUUACAAGAUGAUUUGGCUUCAUUGGAAGGGAAUGUAGUCUUUUAGUAUCAUGGUGAAAGGAUGGAAAUGGAACUUUAGGAUAAUCCUAUAUAAAAAUCAAGACAGCAUACUAAAAAGCAGAGACAUCACUCUGCCAACAAAAGUGUGUAUA
This is a non-coding RNA of Crotalus tigris (Tiger rattlesnake), 751 nucleotides long. NCBI's taxonomy places the organism in Eukaryota, Metazoa, Chordata, Lepidosauria, Squamata, Viperidae. The record is from the annotation of a RefSeq genome assembly.